AGUAGUUGCAAGAGGACAAACCUAGAGCGUAGGAGGCAUGCCUGGGUUCCAGUCUUCCCCUCAACCAGGAGUUUUUGGUGAAUAAGAUUCUAGAGAGCAGCUUAACUGUCCAGCUUUGUGUUCCCCAUGUGUAAGGAUAAUAGAUGAUCCAGCACUCGGAUGCCAUGGAAAGUUCUAAAAAGGAAUGCAUUUGUCAAGGGCCGCAGCAGACUCUGCCAACUGCUAGUUCAGCUAGAUUGUGAUCACGCUUCAUUUUUCAUCAACAUUCUGCUUAAUUUACCACAAAUGUCAUUGUCCCAGGGCUGUCAGCCUGGAAAGAUGAUGCCCUUGUUGUGUGGGCUUCAUGGGAACUGACUGUUGAGGGGCUCGAGCUGUAAGGAGCAAAUCAUCAUUUAUAAUUUCCCACUCUACUUAGUUGAGGCAGGCAGAUGCCUUAGAGCCUGACAAAAAGAAGGACUUGAAGCUAAGCAGAUGGGCAGGCAAAUAUCUUAGCAGCACCUGCUGCUGGCUGUGAUGGUUCCAGCUACCUGUCUUUGGGGAAGAGAUUCUGUGGUCCUUACUGCUUGAAGUAUAGAUCUGCACUGUCCACUAUAGUCACUAGCCACAUGUGGCUAUUGAGCACUUGAAAUGUGGCUAGUCCAAAUUGAGAUGUGUUGAGUGUAUAAAAUAUACACCGAAUUUGGAAGACUUAAAA
Molecule: long non-coding RNA, 694 nt
Organism: Gorilla gorilla gorilla (western lowland gorilla)
Lineage: Eukaryota; Metazoa; Chordata; Mammalia; Primates; Hominidae
Exons: 2
Source: RefSeq, a predicted model, not a curated record